Molecule: long non-coding RNA, 302 nt
Organism: Poeciliopsis prolifica (blackstripe livebearer)
Lineage: Eukaryota; Metazoa; Chordata; Actinopteri; Cyprinodontiformes; Poeciliidae
Exons: 3
Source: RefSeq, a predicted model, not a curated record
GGGCUAUAAAGAGAUGAUCAAUGAUUUAUCAAUAGGAAUGAGGAGAAAUGGCUUCAGAUCAUCAGUGAAGGUUUAUAAACCCUCCAUUCCCCUGUUGAAGACACAUUGCUUCCAGAAAGUCCUGCUGCUGCUUUGAUUCUUCAUCACAAGAUGAAAUUCAUCCUUUUUACUUUGUUCCUCUGUGGAUUCAUCCUGGAAAUCAAUGUGAGUGAAAACCUUCUGUUCUCUUUGUGGUUUGAAUAUCUAUUGUUAAAAACAUUAUUUUACUGGUUUUAUUUAGCAAUUGUAGUUUUUUUGUUUAG